Molecule: ribosomal RNA, 528 nt
Filed under: uncultured bacterium
Lineage: Bacteria
Description: bacterial SSU rRNA
Rfam family: Bacterial small subunit ribosomal RNA
Source: RNAcentral
AGAGUUUGAUCAUGGCUCAGAUUGAACGCUGGCGGCAGGCUUAACACAUGCAAGUCGAGCGGUAACAGGGGGUGCUUGCACCCCGCUGACGAGCGGCGGACGGGUGAGUAAUGCCUAAGAAUCUGCCUAGUGGUGGGGGAUAGCCCGGGGAAACUCGGAUUAAUACCGCAUACGCCCUACGGGGGAAAGCGGGGGAUCUUCGGACCUCGCGCCAUUAGAUGAGCUUAGGUCAGAUUAGCUAGUUGGUGAGGUAAUGGCUCACCAAGGCGACGAUCUGUAGCUGGUCUGAGAGGAUGAUCAGCCACACUGGGACUGAGACACGGCCCAGACUCCUACGGGAGGCAGCAGUGGGGAAUAUUGGACAAUGGGCGAAAGCCUGAUCCAGCCAUGCCGCGUGUGUGAAGAAGGCCCUAGGGUUGUAAAGCACUUUAAGCUGGGAAGAUGGUGCGUGUGACUAAUACUCACAUGUAUAGACGGUACCAGCAGAAUAAGCACCGGCUAACUCCGUGCCAGCAGCCGCGGUAAUAC